RNAcentral lists this ribosomal RNA (460 nucleotides) under uncultured bacterium. Its description in RNAcentral is "partial 16S ribosomal RNA". It matches the Rfam family "Bacterial small subunit ribosomal RNA", at positions 338 to 795 of the family's 1533-position model. The record is from RNAcentral.
CCUACGGGAGGCAGCAGUGAGGAAUAUUGGUCAAUGGACGAGAGUCUGAACCAGCCAAGUCGCGUGAAGGAUGACUGCCCUACGGGUUGUAAACUUCUUUUAUAAAGGAAUAACAAGAGACACGUGUGCCUUUUUGAAUGUACUUUAUGAAUAAGGAUCGGCUAACUCCGUGCCAGCAGCCGCGGUAAUACGGAGGAUCCGAGCGUUAUCCGGAUUUAUUGGGUUUAAAGGGAGCGUAGAUGGGUUGUUAAGUCAGUUGUGAAAGUUUGCGGCUCAACCGUAAAAUUGCAAUUGAGACUGGCAGUCUUGAGUACAGUUGAGGUAGGCGGAAUUCGUGGUGUAGCGGUGAAAUGCUUAGAUAUCACGAAGAACCCCGAUUGCGAAGGCAGCUUACUAAACUGUGACUGACAUUGAUGCUCGAAAGUGUGGGUAUCAAACAGGAUUAGAUACCCCUGUAGUC